Molecule: long non-coding RNA, 660 nt
Organism: Lingula anatina
Lineage: Eukaryota; Metazoa; Brachiopoda; Lingulata; Lingulida; Lingulidae
Source: RefSeq, a predicted model, not a curated record
UCGUCUAUUUAGAGAUGAAGUAGUUUGCAAUGUUGCCGGUUAGUUUGCACUGAAUAGCAAGAGCAUCAUUUUCUGAUCAUCAAGCAAUGGUAAAAGUUGGAAAAAAUGAAGAAGUGAGGAAUGCAGAUUGUAUCAAGUACUGAGAUGGUUGUCUGAGAUGGCACUGCUGUCUGUAUAGAAAUAGCCAGUGGCAGAGAGGAGUGAAAGGAUCACCCUUUGAUGUUGGCACCUGAUUAGAAGCCAUGAUAUGAAUAAAGGAAAAAGAGGGCAACCCAAAAUCUGCAAGGCAGACACAAAGAACAAUUUGUUAUAUUAGAUUGAGACUGAUGAUGAUGAUGAUGAGAAGCAGCCAAUGAAGAGAUCCAAAGAAUAAUUCCUGACAUCGUACUAACAUUGUAUCGAUCUAUCUCUGAGGGGAUUCUCGCUAAAUUGCAAUCAAUUUACAUGUUUUAAAUGUCUGUCACACCUACUGUACUGAAGCUAAUUGGGGUAGUUAACUAUUGUUUAGCAGCUUUAGUAGGCAUGCCAGUUACUAAGCUGCGUAAGCAGAAAGCAAUUUAGUGAGAAACCUCUUGGAGAUGGACCAAUCCUGUUAGACCGAUCUAGGUAUGAGAACCCAGUCUAAGAAAAAAUUAUGUGAACAGUCAGAGAAGAAUUUCA